UGUGUUUUUCAGGAUGGACCGUAGACAGCAGGCCCUUUGGGUUAAUGGGAAACCGCCUGCCGAGGUUCGCGACGGAUUGUAAAGUCGCGUCUCCGUGUCUGCGGAGGCGCGACUUUUUUGAUGUCUUC
This is a regulatory RNA element of 128 nucleotides. It matches the Rfam family "Ribosomal protein L10 leader". From Rfam's summary of the family: This family is a putative r-protein leader autoregulatory structure found in B. subtilis and other low-GC Gram-positive bacteria. It is located in the 5' untranslated regions of mRNAs encoding ribosomal proteins L10 and L12 (rplJ-rplL). A Rho-independent transcription terminator structure that is probably involved in regulation is included at the 3' end. The record is from Rfam.